Long non-coding RNA from Homo sapiens (human), 4951 nucleotides. RefSeq lists it as uncharacterized. The record is from RefSeq and is a predicted model, not a curated record. The transcript is spliced from 3 exons. NCBI's taxonomy places the organism in Eukaryota, Metazoa, Chordata, Mammalia, Primates, Hominidae.
AGAGAAAGAGAAAGAAAAAGAGAAAGAAAGAGAGAGAGAGAAAGAAAGGAAAGAAACACCUUUUGGAGGUGAGACCACACCGCUAGUAGCUACCUGCUCCUAGUGACCCACAGGGAAUCCUUCACCAACUUGAUCCUUAGUUUCUUCAUUUGUAAAAUAGGGAGAAUGAGAGUGUCUACCUUUCAGGGUUACUGUUAAAGUUCAGAAGGAAUAAGCAAGGGCAAGUUAUCUGCAACCAAAGUGUGCCAUGCCCACAGGGAAAUCAGAUAGCAAAGUUGCCUGUAGGUCACACAUGUCUAUCUUUUGGGGUGCAUGCAAGCAGGCAGGUGGCUAGGUCACAUGCUGAAAAGGCCUUAGAUAAAGUGUGUGCUCCCUACAAAAAAGGGGGAUCUGGCAGACUUUCCAUCUGUUCCAAGUGCCCAGCACAAAGCAAAGGUAUAUCUCCUAGGUUUUCAAGACUAAUUUGCCUAACUGGGCACAUACUACACCCAGGCUUGGUGUUGUGUGAAGAGGCUGCUUGCUUUACAGAUCUGCCUUCUUUACUCCUCCCAUAGUCCUGUAUGACGGGUAUUUGCUAUGCUUUGAAUGUAUCCCCAACAAUUCAUGUGUUGGAAACUUGAACCCCAAUGCAACAGUGUUGGGAGUGAGGCCUAGCAAGAGGUGAUUAGUUUAUGAGAACCCUGCCCUCAAUGUCAUUGUCAUGGGAAUGAAUUAGUUAUCAAGAGAGUGGGCUUGUUAUUAAAGCACGUUCAGCCCCCUCUUGCUCUCUUGCUCUGUGUAUACUUGCUUGCUGUUUCACCCUCUACCUUGGGAUGGUACAGCACAAAGGCCCUUCCCAGAUGCUGGCACCAUGCUCUUGGAUAUCCCAGCCUCCGGAAUCAUGAGCCAAAUAAACUUCUAUUGUUUAUAAAUUACCCGGUCUGUGGUAUUCUGUUAUAGCAGCAGAAAACAGACUACAACAGUAUUAUUCCCAUUUUCCAGAGAGAGGACCUGAGGCUCCAUUAGGUUGAGUUAAAGCCAAACGUCAUUAAAUCAUUAGGAGACAGAGCCUACUAGCGGCUGCUAGUUCCCACGUAUUCACCCAUAACUACUGCACAAAGAUGCCUCAGAAUAAGAAGAGGACAUGUUCUUGACUUUGAGGACAUUGAGGAGCAGGAAGAAAAUAGAUACAAAAAUGAGCAAGAUGUUGUGUACAUGAUGCUGUAGGAGUGGGACAGGAGUGCAGUGUCGAACCUGUUCAACUGUCCAUGCUAUAUAGUAGUCCCACAAGGUGAAGGACAUAUUAUACUUGAGAGAGAGAGGUGGGAGGAAUAUGACAAGCCAUGCUGAGAUCAUGUGCUUAUCCCUGGAUGGUUGGGGCAGUUGAACCUUGAGUGCCAAUGUCCUGAAGGCCACAGGGGGAAUGGAGAAGGAGCAAUUACUCAAAGGAAAAGUGAGAGUUCCAUUACCAGAAGAAAAGGGUGAAUGAUGGCUAGGCUGAACCAACCAACGUAUUCUCCCCGUUUUCAGCUGACUAAUUCAGGCCUCGUCCCCUGGUGCCUUUCUUGUAUACCCGGCUCUCUUAGCAUCUGCCAGUUCCAUAACACUUAGCUAAUGCCUUGUGCAUAUUGUCUGUUAUCACUAGACUAUGAAUUCCCUGAGGGCAAGAAUUAGGAUUUUCAUCUUUGAAUCUCCAGGACCAUAGUUCAAUAAACGUUUAAUAUGGCAAGAUGAACUUUGUCUUAUGAAAAAUGACAAUUUUCAGAGCAGGGCAAUGGCAGGAUCUGAUUUGUGCUCUGGAAAGAUUUAUCUGAUCACAAUAUGGGGGCUAAAUUAGUGGGGAAAGCAAAUUGAGACAGGAAGACAAAUAUGGAGACUAUAGGAGCCACCAUCAUAAGAGAUGAGGAACCAUGACAAUGGUAGGGUGGAAAUAUGUAAAUAUCAGUAUCUUCCUAUGUUGGCCCAGCCAACAUAGGAACAUUAAUUAACAUUAAUUGAUUAUUAAGGAGGAAUGUCUUUGCUAAGCACGAUACUGUAUGGACAUGGUAACAACUCAGUGUCACAGCAGAGCUUACAAUAAAAAGCAGCCACCUCAGCCCCACUGUCCACACACAGGCUCACUUCUGCAGGCAGCCUCUUUCUAUCAUUUGUCUCUACUUCUUCUGCUGUUUAUUUCACCCUUUAUUUUCUCUUUUUGUUGUUUGAUGGUUCAUCUAUAUGUGCUGGGCUUCCUCAUUCAGGUGGCCGCUUCUCCCUGCCCGCACUGUGAGUCCUGCACUCAGAUUCCCAAAUAAAUCCUGGGGCCUGAUGUAGGCACUGAGGAUGCAGGAUGCAGCAAUGAACGAAUGGGCCAGGCAUCAUGAAGUCUACAUCCAAGCGGUGCAUGCAGAAAGGAAACAGUGACUACGUAGGAUCAUGCCAGGACGUGAUGCAUGUAUCGAAUGAAGGGUAAGUAGUGAAUGUCAGCUUGGUCUUCCAUGGUGUGCUGGAGGGCCUUUCUGGGUUUGAGAACAGCACAGCCUCUUGUCCCCUAGACCUGUCUUCUUGAUGGGGAAAGUUCUGAGACUGGACAAGGUGAGCAGAGAGGACGGCCUGGUGGAGUGUGAGGAGGGGAGAGCAUUCACCACAGCCCCUGGGCCAGCCUCACCCACCCUUCCUAGAGGACAGCACAAUGAGGGGACAGAGGCCAGCAGCUGGCCAUGGCAGGCUGAGUCCAAGGCUGAUUGAUUCUGGGUGCCUCGUCUUCUCUGAUAAGUGGUAGCUUGGGACCAGAAUUAAAUUUAUUUGAAACACGUAAAGGAAAAUGAUGCUUUCCCACUGCAAUCUGGACAGGCAGAUUCACACCUGAUACCUAUACCUGCUUCUCUAUGAAGGCAGCAGCAAGUAUUGCCAAACAGAGGUAAGGAGCAUGAUACAUGCUCUCCCUCCCUUUCCACAGACCCCGGUGAGGAAAGCUGGUCACGUCUACUGUCAGGCAAAUAGCCCAGAAGCUUUUGAGUGAGCUGAGGGCUGACACUCACCCAACAGUAACACAGACACCCUCAGGCAAGGCGUCCAGGGCAGGGUGAUGGCCGUCUCAUCAGUCAGGCUCCCCGGGAGGACCACAGAACACCUUCUCCACUCUGAGGCCACACAGCCUAUGUCCAGGUUCAGUGCCUUUCCCUCCCUCACAGAGGCCUUUCUCCAGGGCAUGGAGCUCUCAGGGAGUGCAGGUGAGGGCCCAGACCCCAGCAGCACACCUGGGGCAAUGGUAUCUUAAGCUGCAUUUCUGUGGCUGACUCUAAGUUUGACAGAAUGGUUUCAAGGUAUUCAGAAUAGGGGAGUUACAAGGAGACCCAGUGAAUGAGGCCGUGAUGUUUGUCAAAUACUCCCUGGCACACAACGCAGAAAGCAAAUGUAGAAACUGCUCCAAAGUGAUGCCUCCCAGGGGUUGAGGCUUUUCUGGGCUCUCUGUGGUGCUCAGUGCUGAUGCUGCUUCCCAAAAGCUCUGAGCGCUUCAGUGCCCCCCGCAGGCCUCUGGGUACCUGGGACACUGAAGGCCUCUGGUACUUGAUUAUGCCCAGGGUCCUGGUGUCAUAAAGAGCUCCCUGAGCAUGGUUGCUUCUCUGAUUUCCCAGCACCCAUUCCCCCUCCCUAACAGCACGACUCUGUUUUGCAGAAUCUUCUUUCCCUCUCCCUGCUCCCAUCCAGCAGGUCUUUGACUUCCAAGCUGGGCCAAGGGAUGAGCUGCUGGGAGAUACGACCCUCAGUCCAGAGAGUCAAGUUGCUAGAAUAUGGCUGUACGGCAAUGCUGAGACAUCACGCUGAGCGAGAGUGGACAUCCUCAUUUUAUUCCUACCCUUACCGUGGAUCUCUCCUGUGCUUCACCACUCAGUAUAAUGCUGGCUGAGCUCUUCUGACAAAUACCUUCCAAGAUGUGAGGAAAACACACGCCCCACAGAGGCAUCCUUUCAGAAAUGGCAAGCGCCGCCCCUCAGGAUGGGGAGUGUACUGAGGCGGAGGUAUUAUGACGCAUUGCCCAGGAACUGAUUACAGCCUUUCUGAAAAUAUCAGAACAAACCAAAGUACUUUUUUUCUCUCACUCAACAACAAUCAACACAGAAGACUUCUGUGACCAAAUGUGUGGGUUUUCUCCCCACCACAAGCAAGAAGGCAGUUCUACAUCGGACAAUUCCAACAUCGACACCUUCUACCUGGAGGUGGCCUCACACCCCACAAGCCCAAGCCUCAUGUCCCAAGCCUGCCCUCCACUUCCAAUGCCAAUGGCAAGGUGGUCUUACCUGUGCUUCUGACCCACUGGCGUUCCCACGAAUCAAUGUUCCCAGGACGCCUCCUAACACUUGAAUAAUUCGCUAGAGCAGCUCACAGAGCUCAGGGAAAGGCCUACUUACAUUUACUAUAAAGGAUGUUACAGAGGAGAGAGACACAGAGAUGCCUGGGGCAAGACAUAUGAGGAGGGCGAGAAGCUUCCAUGCCCUCCUGGGGCUGUCGAACUAAAACGAAGAAGCUGAAAGUUUUGCUCCAAAUGCCAUUGUUUAUCCAUUUUUGACCACCUGAUCUGUUCCAUUAGCUUCAAAAGAUGCCUUUUCAUUUGUUUCGUUUUGCCUUCGAUGGCCUUCCGCCUGCCGCAAGCAACCCUCUAGAAUAUGGGCCUGUGCUUGGCUUUUCUACACAAACAUGAGCAGCCUUCAAUUACUGGGGGACAUUCAUUUCCUCCUUCCAACUAGAGAGCGAGGAGUGUCCCGGGGAGAGUGGGUCCUUGAGCUCCUCUGGGCCUUGCUUGGGACUUGGUCCAGGAGGUUAUGGGAAGAAACUGGUUUAGAAGCUGACCUCAUGGGUUCGCUAUUCUUAUGUAACACUUAGGAAGAGCAGAGACCCACGCGAUUCAGUCCCAGAGCAAUGUUGCGGUCAAGAGAACACAGUCCAGCUACCAACAGUUAUUUCAAAAUAAUUCAAGCUCUUUGUUUAUAUU